AGAGUUUGAUCAUGGCUCAGAACGAACGCUGGCGGCAGGCUUAAUACAUGCAAGUCGAGCGAUCGUGAGCAAUCACGGGAGCGGCAGACGGGUGAGUAACGCGUGGGAACAUACCCUUCGGUUCGGAAUAGCUCAGGGAAACUUGGAUUAAUACCGGAUACGUCCGAGAGGAGAAAGAUUUAUCGCCGAGGGAUUGGCCCGCGUCUGAUUAGCUAGUUGGUGAGGUAACGGCCCACCAAGGCGACGAUCAGUAGCUGGUCUGAGAGGAUGAUCAGCCACAUUGGGACUGAGACACGGCCCAAACUCCUACGGGAGGCAGCAGUCGGGAAUAUUGGACAAUGGGCGCAAGCCUGAUCCAGCCAUGCCGCGUGAGUGAUGAAGGCCUUAGGGUUAUAAAGCUCUUUCGCCAGGGACGAUAAUGACGGUACCUGGAUAAGAAGCCCCGGUUAACUUCGUGCCAGCAGCCGCGGUAAUACGAAGGGGGCUAGCGUUGUUCGGAAUUACUGGGCGUAAAGCGCGUGUAGGCGGGCUUUUAAGUCAGGGGUGAAAUGCCGAGGCUCAACCUCGGAACUGCCUUUGAUACUGGAAGUCUUGAGUCCGGGAGAGGUGAGUGGAACUGCGAGUGUAGAGGUGAAAUUCGUAGAUAUUCGCAAGAACACCAGUGGCGAAGGCGGCUCACUGGCCCGGAACUGACGCUGAGACGCGAAAGCGUGGGGAGCAAACAGGAUUAGAUACCCUGGUAGUCCACGCUGUAAACGAUGGAUGCUAGCCGUUGGGGAGCUUGCUCUUCAGUGGCGCCGCUAACGCUUUAAGCAUCCC
This 819-nucleotide ribosomal RNA is filed under the name uncultured bacterium. RNAcentral describes it as "bacterial SSU rRNA". It matches the Rfam family "Bacterial small subunit ribosomal RNA", at positions 8 to 870 of the family's 1533-position model. The record is from RNAcentral.